RNAcentral lists this ribosomal RNA (392 nucleotides) under uncultured bacterium. Its description in RNAcentral is "partial 16S ribosomal RNA". It matches the Rfam family "Bacterial small subunit ribosomal RNA", at positions 523 to 918 of the family's 1533-position model. The record is from RNAcentral.
AUACGUAUGUCGCAAGCGUUAUCCGGAUUUAUUGGGCGUAAAGCGCGUCUAGGCGGCUUAGUAAGUCUGAUGUGAAAAUGCGGGGCUCAACCCCGUAUUGCGUUGGAAACUGCUAAACUAGAGUACUGGAGCGGUAGGCGGAACUCCAAGCGUAGAGGUGAAAUUCGUAGAUAUUUGUAGGAAUGCCGAUGGGGAAGCCAGCCUACUGGACAGAUACUGACGCUAAAGCGCGAAAGCGUGGGUAGCAAACAGGAUUAGAUACCCUGGUAGUCCACGCCGUAAACGAUGAUUACUAGGUGUUGGGGGUCGAACCUCAGCGCCCAAGCUAACGCGAUAAGUAAUCCGCCUGGGGAGUACGUACGCAAGUAUGAAACUCAAAUGAAUUGACGGGG